CCUACGGGAGGCAGCAGUCGAGAAUCAUUCACAAUGGGGGAAACCCUGAUGGUGCGACGCCGCGUGGGGGAAUGAAGGUCUUCGGAUUGUAAACCUCUUUUAUGUGGGAGCAAAUUAAAAAGAGAGUACCACAAGAGGAAGAGACGGCUAAAUCUGUGCCAGCAGCCGCGGUAAUACAGACGUCGCAAGCGUUGUUCGGAAUCACUGGUCGUAAAGUGUUCGUGUGCUGGUCCGUAAGUGGUGUGUGAAAGGCGCGGGCUCAAACCGCGGACGGCAGAUGAUACUGCGAGACUAGAGUGAUGGAGGGGGAACCGGAAUUCUCGGUGUAGCAGUGAAAUGCGUAGAUAUCGAGAGGAACACU
Molecule: ribosomal RNA, 361 nt
Filed under: uncultured bacterium
Lineage: Bacteria
Description: partial 16S ribosomal RNA
Rfam family: Bacterial small subunit ribosomal RNA
Source: RNAcentral